UCCAAUCAAGACAUGCAGUCCAGGAACCUCCGUGGGCAUUACCGCAGUAUAUAAAUGAUGCUGAAGUGGGAAAACGUGUUUUCAAGUUCCUGUAUUUUCAUGUGGAGUUGCUGGUUGCCCAACGUAGAGGACUAGGAGUCAGGAGUCGGUGGCCGUAUGCUGGAGGCUGGAGCCGCGGGAGCGCGGCUCGCCUCGCUGCGGUUGUCGGCAGUGACGGAGAGAGACCAGCGCGGCUGGAGCGGGACAUUACAUUAGUUUCCUGCAAUAAAAUAUUUUUACAAUGUCGGUUUGUCUAAACUGGCCUGUAAACUAUUUCUAAUCAAAACCUGAAAUUGUGUCACAACAUGGCUGUAUUAUGAUUCCAUGUCAGAGGAAGGAUAUAUACGUGCAUUUGGUGGUGGCUUCCAGUUGUUGCUGUCAGAUGUUUGUUUGGGAAUGCAUUCAGAAGAGCUUAUCAAGGACUUGAGUACAAAACAAGCAUUUCCACAAAAAAGCAGUGACACAAAUCACUAUGUAAUAUAGUUAGCCUUUGAACAACAUGGAUUUGAACUGCAGGGGUCUACUUAUGAGCAGCUUUUCUCCCACCUCUACCACCUGAGACGGCGAAGACCAAUCUUCCUCUUCCUCCUUCUCCUUAGCCUGCUCAACUUGAAGACUAUGAUGAAGAGUUAUAUAAUGAUCCACUUGCAUUUAAUGAACAAUGAGGUAUUUCAACGCUGCCCAGACUUGUCUCAAACUUCUGGGCUUAAGCCUCCCGAGUAGCUGGUAUUACCGGUGUGCACCACCAUGCCCAGUGUUGCCUGUUUCUUGACUAUCAGAUAGUUUCCCUUGCAAAGUUAUCAAAGUGCUCCCCAGAAGACAUUAGGUAUUUGCUUUCUAGUCUACAUACAAUGAAAAGGAAAAAACGUCAGUUCCUGAAGCUCUCUCAAAACAUCAACAGAUGGAAAGACGUGCCCAUGUCCUCCCCUCCCUCCACUCUGGGGGCUUGGAAAUGCCGCAGCAGGGAGCAGGCCCCAGGCUGGACCUGCCCUGUCCUCACAAUGAGUGUGUGCAAAAGUGAACAAUAAAUCAUUUCAAAGAUGCAAGGAAGAAAAACCAAAACAUCAACAGAAUCUUCUUUCCCAUAAUCUUCAUGCACCUCCUGGUCCGGAUGAGUUUAUGUUCCCAUCUCUGAGCACAGGGAUUGAUUGUGAUGGCAUUUAUAGGACUGAGCGCCCCACACUCUGUGAUCCAGCAUGGAGUUAUGAUUUACAUCACCACAGGAAGAGUACAGAGGCUUCAACAGAAAAAAAGAAAUUGAAGUUGAAGUAUAAGGAGAAUUUUUACAUCACCCAGGUUCUAAUUUGGAAGGUUUCUAACAGCACUCUGUCCUCUUCUGGUGCUCACUGUCAAAGAAUUUGCACCCUGCAACACUAAGUGUUUGUGCUAGAAUCCACUUCUGAUGUUGGCUGCUCUGACACAGCUUCCAUUUGGGUCUCACUCUGUCGCCCAGACUGCAUUGCAGUGGGGUGAUCUCGACUCAUUGCAACCUCUGUCUCCCGGAUUCAAGUAAUUCUCCUGCCUCAGCCCCCCAAGUGGCUGGGUUUACAGGCAGAAAGGUGUUAAAUGGCUUGCAGAAUUGUUGGGAAGGCUAAGCUUCCAGGAGCAGCUCCCAAAGUCUCCACACACAACUGGACCACCAGGGAACCUGCUCCCUCCACCAGGACAGGACUUGGAAAGCUGCCACCGCAAUUACCAGCACCAGAAGGAUCUUGUCUCUGCUAAGUCUCUGUCCACAUAGUGAAUACCCCGUGCCCUGCCUCUCCCUGACUCAGGUCCCACUCCAGGUCUUGCCCAAGUCUUUCUGAUUGGUGGAACUUAAAUCACACCCAAAAUUCCAGCUGCAGGAGAGCUCUGAGAUUUCAUCUUUCCAACCUCUGUGUGCUACAUGGGGGUUGGAGCACUUGCUGACAAGCCUUGCAACCACCAGUGACAGGAUGUCCUCCACCUUUUCAAUCUGAUUUGCUCUUUGCCAUGCAGACCUGUGGAUGAAGAGCCAGAGUCCUCCAAGAAAAAGAAAAUGGAGUCCUAGAGAAGGAAGUAGAUUGACCUGUCCCGGCAUGUUGAAAAACUUGAUAGACACAUUGCUCUUCAGUUUGCCCUCCCACUCACAGCAUGCCAAGGUACUGUCUUCCCAGAAUUUUCACACUCUGUAAAUAAUUUUAAAGAUUAAGUAAAUGAACAAUGAUAACUUGUUUUGCUUUGUUCAUCAGUAAGGUUGAGCACUUCUUCAUAUGUUUAGAGGCCAUUUAUGUAUCUUUUGUAUGUGUCUAUGGAAACUCGUAUACUUGGCUUGUAUUUCUUUUGAGGUGUUAGUCUGUUUCCUGGGUUUUUUUUUUUUAUUUUUAUUUUUUGAGAUGGAGUCUCGCUCUGUCCCCCAGUCUGGAGUGCAGUGGCGCGAUCUCGGCUCAGUUCAAGCUCCGCCUCCUGGGUUCACGCCAUUCUCCUGCCUCAGCCUCCCGAGCAGCUGGGACUACAGGCGCCCACCACCACGCCCGGCUAAUUUUUUGUAUUUUCAGUAGAGACGGGGUUUCACCAUGUUAGCCAGGAUGGUCUGGAUCUCCUGACCUCGUGAUCCGCCCGCCUCGGCCUCCCAAAUUGCUGGGAUUACAGGCAUGAGCCACCACGCCCGGCCAUCUUUUUCCUGUUUAUAAGAAAUCUUGAUAUAUUGUGCUUUUUAACUUUUUUUCAUAUGUAGUGCUAUUAUUUCUUAGUCAUCUUUUAACUUUGUUUAUAGUUAUAUUUUACUGAAGAGAAAUGUUGCCUUUUUGUGUUGUUUUUCUUUGAUUUUAAGUGUUUUGUUUCCUUCCUUAAAAUGUCUUUCUAGCUGUUUAUUAAAAUAUUCUUCCUUAGCAUCUUUAAAAAGCCUUUUAUUUGUACAGUCUUAAAACCCAUGGAAAUAUGGGCUUUGGAUUUUGAUGAUCUUCUCCUAUCUUGACUGUCUUCUGGAAUCAAAUGGAUACUCUGGAGGAAUAUUCCAUCACCUAGAACCUCAAAUUAUAGCCAUGUUUUAUUUUAUUUUUAUUACUGUACACAAAAUAGAAUGAGUUUCUGUAUUCAUCUUCUUUCUUCCCUUUUUAAAAAGUUUUCAGUUCUGGGAUACAUGUGCAGGUUUGUCAUAUAGGUACAUUCGUGUCGUGGAGGUCUGUUGUACACAUUAUUUCAUCAACUCGGUAUUAAGCCUCGUACCGAUUAGUUAUUUUUCCUGGUUCUCUCCCUCCUCCCACCCUCCACCCUCAGGUAGGCCCCAGUGUCUAUUAUUCCCCUCUAUGUGUCCAUGUGUUCUUAUCAUUUAGCUCCCACCUGUAAGUGAGAACAUGGGUAGGGAUUUUUUUUAUUAGGCAAAAGGCAGGAAUGGAUACCAAGGUAGGGAAUGUGGGCUGGGCUGUGUAGAGCACGUGGAGGGGUGGGGGGCUGCAGGUCACCAUAUCUGCUGGCGAUGGCUGUCUUGAGUCAUGGGCCACCUGGUGCUCUGACCAGUGGCAGCAAGGCUGUAUGAACCAGUUCAGUUUUCCUUCCUGAGGUGGGACACUCACAACUUUGGUUGGAUAUUUUGGCUCGCCUAAGGCCAGUUCCUGGAAUUCUUUAAGUAAAAGGCAAGGUUAAGCAUUAUGAGAGCACCAAAGAGCAAGCUUUUUUUUUUUUUCUAUAAAGGUCAGAUAACGAAUUGAUACCUGAUACGUUUAAGCCUUUUUGUGAAAUACCAUACACAAAGAUAAAAGCGAACAAAAUGUAAAUGACAGUUUCUUGAGUGAUUAGAACAUGAAAAGUCAUGCAGUCACCACUCCCGUCCAGAAGAGGAGCAGCGCCAGCUCCCCCAGACCUGUCCUACGAUUUUCCCAUCGUAACCCUCACUACUCCCAAAGGUCACCGUUGUCCUCACAAUUCUUCUCUUUAACAGAUCUUUACAAAACUAUGCAGCCCUAAACAUUAUGUUACUUUUCCUUACAUCUGAAUUGUAUUACAAAUGGAAUUUUAAAACUAUGCAAUAUUUACAUCUAGUUUUUUUUACACAUUAUUAAGUUAGUGAGAUGUAUCCAUGUUGUUACGUAUACCGUAAUUUGUUCAUUUUCUUCACCUAAAAGCCAUUGUAUGAGUAUACCUUUAUCCAUUCUGUCAUUAAUGGACAGUUGAGUCAUGUACAGUUUGGGGCUAUUGUGAAUAGAACUGUCACGUUCUUGUGGAUGUCUCUUGAGACAUGUAUGUGCUCGUUCCUGUUGGUUACAUACUUAGGAAUGGAAUUCCUGGGCCUUAGGGUAUGCAUACAUUCUAGGAUAGUGCCAAACAGAUGACUAAGUAUUUGUAUAACUCAUGUCUUUUCAGCAAUUUAUGAGAGGUCUGUUUCUCUGCAUUCUCAUCAAUACUUAGUAGUGUGUUAGUCUUUUUACUGGCGGUCAUGUGGGUAAUGUGUAGUAGUGUCUCACUGUGGUUUUGAUUUGCGUUUUUCUUUUGGCUGGGGAGGCUGAACACUUUUUCUUUUUUUUUUUGAGACGGAGUCUCACUCUGUCGCCUGGGCUGGAGUGCAGAGGUGUGAUCUCAGCUCGCUGCAACCUCUGCCUCCCAGGCUCAAGCGAUUCUCCUGCCUCAGCCUCCUGAGUAGCUGGGAUUACAGGCACUCGCCACUAUGCCUGGCUGAUGUAUUGUAUUUUUAGUAGAGACAGGGGUUUUACCAUGUUGGCCAGGCUGGUCUCAAACUCCCUGACCUCGCGAUUCACCCGCCUCGGACUCCCAAGGUGCUGGGAUUACAGGCAUGAGCCACCGCCCCCCACCGGCUGAAUACCUUUUUGUAUGCAAAUUGACCAUGUGGAUAGUGCCUUUUGGGAUGCACCUGUUCAGGUUUUUUGCCCAUUUUGUUUGUUUGGGGGGUGGGAUUUAUUGGCUCUGCAAGCAGGAUAUGAACUUUUGCCCAUUUACAAAAUCAGAUUCUCGUUGUUUUCCUUAUUGCUUUAAAGAGUUCUUUAUGUAGUCUCCAUAUAAGUCCCUUGUCAAACAGAUAUGUGGCAAAUACCUUCUCCCAGUGU
Gorilla gorilla gorilla (western lowland gorilla) is the source of this 5060-nucleotide RNA transcript. It is a transcript of the gene named ubiquitin carboxyl-terminal hydrolase 6-like, with no coding region annotated. The record is from RefSeq and is a predicted model, not a curated record. Lineage: Eukaryota; Metazoa; Chordata; Mammalia; Primates; Hominidae. The transcript is spliced from 10 exons.